CAAAGUCAAUCGUCUACCUAACCCAAGUGUAGACGAGCGACUAGGCUAAAAGACUUGACUAUUAGUCGUAAUGCUGAUCAGAAAUUGCCCAUUCAAUUUGAUAUGAGUACAGGAAAAGUUAUUGGAGACAACCGUGCAAGAUUCACUAGCUUUGUGGCCUUACUUGGUAGAAGUAAGGUCUUUGGAAGCUCAUUCAAGGUUACGGGGUGUUCCAUCUAUUUCUAGGAAGAAGAUGCAAAUAAUCACACCUAAUUGUCGACGUCAAUUGGGCAGCUAUGAAUGUGGGUAUUAUGUAAUGAAACACAUGCAUACCAUUAUUUGUACAAACAUUAUUGAAUCAUGGAAUAAGAUCUUUAAUGAUUCAUCUCCCAUGGAAGCUAUAGACAUUGAAGACAUUAGAAGGAACUGGGCUUCUUUUAUUUUAAGUGUUAGUAGAAACUUGGCUACACUUAAAUAGUGUAUGUACAUUAAUGUAAU
Molecule: long non-coding RNA, 477 nt
Organism: Vigna angularis (adzuki bean)
Lineage: Eukaryota; Viridiplantae; Streptophyta; Magnoliopsida; Fabales; Fabaceae
Exons: 4
Source: RefSeq, a predicted model, not a curated record